Non-coding RNA from Cyanistes caeruleus (blue tit), 1576 nucleotides. Lineage: Eukaryota; Metazoa; Chordata; Aves; Passeriformes; Paridae. The record is from RefSeq and is a predicted model, not a curated record.
CAGACCUGGAAGUCGUGUCAGCCAUGAAGGUCAAUGGACAUAUCUGUGAGGAUGUGGCUGGAGGUACUUGGAGAAGGAGAAAGCAUCAAAACCACUCCUCCCUGUGUGUACAUCUAUAUCCAGAGAUUUGGCCUUGAAGAAAACCCUAAAGCUGAAUGUUGCUGAACUUUGGGCAGCUAGAUUCUGACCUGAAUAUUGAGGACAGACUCUUUGUGUAUUUUUGUUUGUUUGUUUCCAUGAUACUUCAGGAAUGAUGGAUUGAGGCACACACGUAAUGACCUGUUCCAGUCAGGAACUGAGACAGCCUCAAAGGGAGCUGCCGAUGAGAUCUAUGGAAUGGGACAUGUCAAAUAGCUCAGUCCUAAGGCGUUUGCCUUGAUGACUGUGUGAAGCCAAUGCACUCACUUAGCAGCUACCUCAUUUCUGGGAUGAGAUGUUUCAUUUCACCAGACAGAUUCCUCCACAACAGAACAAGCACAAAGGAAAUGGUUCCAAGAGGAUUUUUGAAAACACUAUGCACAAGAACUCACUAAAGAUACAGAAGUGUCAAACAACAGAAGUCUUUCAUGUAGAAACUUGUUUUCCUUAAAACCACAUGUCCAUAAGCAGCAAGGAUGAAGGUGUCCCAUGCAAGCUGAAGUGAUUCUUGCUUUUGAGGAAAAAAAUGGUGUCACGGUUACAGUUACAACCAGAGAGGGAUACUUUGGAUACAGAAUGCAGAGGAUUCCCCUGCCCAAGGGACAGACUGAGGCAGGGAUUCUGUCCCACACUGGGCUGAAACCAUGCAGCUCUUAGAAGAACAAACAACCUUCUGCAGAUGCAGAAGAAAGGCAGAGAAAUAUUAGAUGACUUACCCACAGUCUGUAGCAGGGGAUGAAAUGUACCUGUGGAGGCAGUUGAUGAAGAGCUAGGUGCUCGUGGAAAUUGAGACUUGCACCAGCCGUGUCUGUUGCCAGCAGGACUCAGCAGUGUCCCCAGCUCUGGUGAGGUACCAGUGUGUGGUGAGGCACAGUGAUGGCAUCCUGGGAUACUAAUGUAUAUGUCAUGUAGUGUUUGUAUGCAGCAAAGAUUUUGGAGAGUAGAAUACGGGGAAUCUAUUGUUUUCUUUAGAAACAGCUUUUCUCCUCUGUUGUCCCUUGACAUCUGCCCCUCACAACAAGCUUGGGAUGCGAUGUGCCCUUCUCUCCCCUACAAAUACCCUGCUCCUUUUCGACAAGGAGGAUACUGACAGUACUGAGAUCCCACUCAGUCUGCUUGCUUUUAGCAGCCCUACAAGAACAGGGAGGAAAUUUUCCCUGCUCUCUGGAAUAAGGUCCUCCAUUACCAUGUCACAAAAGAAAAGAGGCAGCUUGGUACCUAAGGAAAACUGCUGACUUUAAACCUGAGAUAAGGCUCUAUCAUUUACACUAAUGAGCUCACUGGUGGGGAAUUUGUAAAAUUUUAUGAUAAAAAGUAGCUGUAGUCAGUGUUUGAUGGAAUUUACUAUUUUACAUUUUUGCUGAAGAUAGAUAUAACUACUAAUAAUUUACACAUUCAAACCUAAAUAAGAGCAGAAGAACUGUCCCAGUAGAAAUUC